RNAcentral lists this ribosomal RNA (441 nucleotides) under uncultured bacterium. Its description in RNAcentral is "partial 16S ribosomal RNA". It matches the Rfam family "Bacterial small subunit ribosomal RNA", at positions 338 to 795 of the family's 1533-position model. The record is from RNAcentral.
CCUACGGGUGGCAGCAGUGGGGGAUAUUGCACAAUGGGGGGAACCCUGAUGCAGCGACGCCGCGUGGGUGAAGGAGUGCUUCGGCAUGUAAAGCCCUAUCGGCAGGGAAGAAGCAAGACGGUACCUGACUAAGAAGCCCCGGCUAACUACGUGCCAGCAGCCGCGGUAAUACGUAGGGGGCGAGCGUUAUCCGGAUUCACUGGGUGGAAAGGGAGCGCAGACGGCCAUGCAAGCCAGGGGUGAAAGCCCGGGGUCCAACCCCGGGACUGCCCUUGGAACUGCAUGGCUGGAGUGCGGGAGGGGCAGGCGGAAUUCCUGGUGUAGCGGUGAAAUGCGUAGAUAUCAGGAGGAACACCGGCGGCGAAGGCGGCCUGCUGGACCGCGACUGACGUUGAGGCUCGAAAGCGUGGGGAGCGAACAGGAUUAGAUACCCUAGUAGUC